AGCACAUUAAAUUUGCAGGACCAUUAAAAAGUUAAACAGUGUAUUCUUUAUAUAUCAAGGGUUCUAGCUUCCAGUGGGUGAUUUGACAGCAUUGCCUUUCUUGAAGUCAUGGGCCAGAAGGAUUAAGGGCACAUCAGAUUACUGAUUUUCUAUGGGGAAAUCCAAGUAAAGGAACUCUUAUCUGAAGAGUAAUCGCACCACACAGGAGCAAGAAUCUGUGCCAUUCCUGUUGUCAACCAUUGACAAGUAUCUUUGAUUUUUCGAUCAAUUCCUGGCUUUCUUGUCGGCUCAGGCUUGCCAGCCACCUGAAGCUGAGGAGUCUUCUUAAUCAUCUGUCUUCC
This is a non-coding RNA of Lepisosteus oculatus (spotted gar), 341 nucleotides long. Lineage: Eukaryota; Metazoa; Chordata; Actinopteri; Semionotiformes; Lepisosteidae. The record is from RefSeq and is a predicted model, not a curated record.